RNAcentral lists this ribosomal RNA (497 nucleotides) under uncultured bacterium. RNAcentral's name for it is "partial 16S ribosomal RNA". It matches the Rfam family "Bacterial small subunit ribosomal RNA", at positions 28 to 507 of the family's 1533-position model. The record is from RNAcentral.
GAUGAACGCUGGCGGCGUGCCUAAUACAUGCCAGUCGAGCGAACGGACGAGAAGCUUGCUUCUCUGAUGUUAGCGGCGGACGGGUGAGUAACACGUGGAUAACCUACCUAUAAGACUGGGAUAACUUCGGGAAACCGGAGCUAAUACCGGAUGAUAUUUUGAACCGCAUUGUUCAAAAGUGAAAGACGGUCUUGCUGUCACUUAUAGAUGGAUCCGCGCUGCAUUAGCUAGUUGGUAAGGUAACGGCUUACCAAGGCAACGAUGCAUAGCCGACCUGAGAGGGUGAUCGGCCACACGGGAACUGAGACACGGUCCAGACUCCUACGGGAGGCAGCAGUAGGGAAUCUUCCGCAAUGGGCGAAAGCCUGACGGAGCAACGCCGCGGGAGUGAUGAAGGUCUUCGGAUCGUAAAACUCUGUUAUUAGGGAAGAACAUAUGUGUAAGUAACUGUGCACAUCUUGACGGUACCGAAUCAGAAAGCCACGGCUAACUACGUG